This 207-nucleotide unclassified non-coding RNA is filed under the name Glomeraceae sp. RNAcentral describes it as "partial contains 5.8S ribosomal RNA and internal transcribed spacer 2". The stretch from base 1 to 71 matches the Rfam family "5.8S ribosomal RNA", at positions 84 to 154 of the family's 154-position model. Lineage: Eukaryota; Fungi; Glomeromycota; Glomeromycetes; Glomerales; Glomeraceae. The record is from RNAcentral.
GUGAAUCAUCAAAUUUUUGAACGCAAAUUGCAUUCCCUGGUAUUCCGGGGAGUAUGCCUGUUUGAGGGUCGUUAGAAGUAAAAUUGAAGCUUCGCUCUUUUUUUGAGGGUGAUGGCGUCGGAAUUGAGCCGUCUUUCUAAUGUUAAUUCAUGUCAAAGUGGCUUAGAAUUUUUCCAUCCGAUAUGAAUAAUGCGUCUUUAAGAUCCA